This is a non-coding RNA of Pelobates cultripes (western spadefoot toad), 327 nucleotides long. The record is from the annotation of a GenBank genome assembly. Lineage: Eukaryota; Metazoa; Chordata; Amphibia; Anura; Pelobatidae.
AUUUUGUAUUCUGUAUGCAUUAUGUGAUUUAUGCCAGUCUAUAUAGAUUCAGGGAUACAUUGGUUCUUUGCUCUGCUGCUUGAGUGUUUGAGUUAUUUAUGUAUUUAUUUAUGUGUUCAUGUUGGACUAGACUGGGAGUACACCAGUCAUUCUUGGUACCCUCUUCUCUCUAGAUCACUGCAGCUCUGCUUAGUGGCUAUACUUGUAUCUUCUGGUUAUUGUGCAUUACGUUCUUUUCCCCAUAGGUUUAGUUGGUGGAUAUUUAAUCACAUAUAUCUGGUAUCGUCUGUUCAUGUUUUCUCCCUUUUUUGACUAAGAAGUUCUGAC